RNAcentral lists this long non-coding RNA (595 nucleotides) under Salmo salar (Atlantic salmon). RNAcentral describes it as "lncRNA (ENSSSAG00000100487.1)". The record is from RNAcentral. Lineage: Eukaryota; Metazoa; Chordata; Actinopteri; Salmoniformes; Salmonidae.
UGUCUCUCUACUACAACCCCAGAGGUCAUAUUCUAGUCUGGUCUGUCUCUCUACUACAGCCCCAGAGGUCAUAUUCUAGUCUGGUCUGUCUCUGUACUACAACCCCAGAGGUCAUAUUCUAGUCUGGUCUGUCUCUCUACUACAACCCCAGAGGUCAUAUUCUAGUCUGGUCUGUCUCUCUACUACAACCCCAGAGGUGAUAUUCUAGUCUGGUCUGUCUCUCUACCACAACCCCAGAGGUCAUAUUCUAGUCUGGUCUGUCUCUCUACUACAACCCCAGAGGUCAUAUUCUAGUCUGGUCUGUCUCUCAUCAACAACCCCAGAGGUCAUAUUCUAGUCUGGUCUGUCUCUCUACUACAACCCCAGAGGUCAUAUUCUAGUCUGGUCUGUCUCUCUACUACAACCCCAGAGGUCAUAUUCUAGUCUGGUCUGUCUCUCUACUACAGCCCCAGAGGUCAUAUUCUAGUCUGGUCUGUCUCUCUACUACAACCCCAGAGGUCAUAUUCUAGUCUGGUCUGUCUCUCUACCACAACCCCAGAGGUCAUAUUCUAGUCUGGUCUGUCUCUCAUCAACAACCCCAGAGGUCAUAUUCUAG